AACGCGAAGAACCUUACCUGGGUUUGACAUCCCUUGACCCUCUCAGAGAUGAGAGUUUUGUAGCAAUACAACAAGGUGACAGGUGCUGCAUGGCUGUCGUCAGCUCGUGUGGUGACAUGUUGGGUUAAGUCCCGCAACGAGCGCAACCCUUGUCUUUAGUUGCCAUCAUUCAGUUGGGCUCUCUAAAGAGACUGCCGUAGGUUAACACGGAGGAAGGUGGGGAUGACGUCAAGUCCUCAUGGCCUUUAUAUCCAGGGCGACACACGUGAUACAAUGGACGGUACAAAGGGACGCCAAGAGGCAACUCGGAGCUAAUCUACAAAAAGCCGUUCUCAGUUCGGAUUGGAGUCUGCAACUCGACUCCAUGAAGUUGGAAUCGCUAGUAAUCGCGGAUCAGCACGCCGCGGUGAAUACGUUCCCGGGCCUUGUACACACCGGAGUA
Molecule: ribosomal RNA, 442 nt
Filed under: uncultured bacterium
Lineage: Bacteria
Description: bacterial SSU rRNA
Rfam family: Bacterial small subunit ribosomal RNA
Source: RNAcentral